RNAcentral lists this ribosomal RNA (468 nucleotides) under uncultured bacterium. Its description in RNAcentral is "partial 16S ribosomal RNA". It matches the Rfam family "Bacterial small subunit ribosomal RNA", at positions 28 to 507 of the family's 1533-position model. The record is from RNAcentral.
GACGAACGCUGGCGGCGUGCUUAACACAUGCAAGUCGAACGGAAAGGCCCUGCUUUUGUGGGGUGCUCGAGUGGCGAACGGGUGAGUAACACGUGAGUAACCUGCCCUUGACUUUGGGAUAACUUCAGGAAACUGGGGCUAAUACCGGAUAGGAGCUCCUGCUGCAUGGCGGGGGUUGGAAAGUUUCGGCGGUUGGGGAUGGACUCGCGGCUUAUCAGCUUGUUGGUGGGGUAGUGGCUUACCAAGGCUUUGACGGGUAGCCGGCCUUAGAGGGUGACCGGCCACAUUGGGACUGAGAUACGGCCCAGACUCCUACGGGAGGCAGCAGUGGGGAAUAUUGCACAAUGGGCGGAAGCCUGAUGCAGCAACGCCGCGUGCGGGAUGACGGCCUUCGGGUUGUAAACCGCUUUCGCCUGUGACGAAGCGUGAGUGACGGUAAUGGGUAAAGAAGCACCGGCUAACUACGUG